UAGAAUUUAGAAAUAAUAAACAAUUUAUAUAAGUUAAAAAUUUAAAAUAUCGAUUACGAGUAGCUAGCUGGUAGGUAAUGAAUGAUGUAUUGAUGUGUUUCUUUGUUUUUUAAGCAUCCAUAGUCCAGGCUUCAAUAAACAUUGUAACAAUAUUGCUAAUCAAAUAGUAGUUAAAACAGUAAAAAUGUAUAACUUAAAUAAUAUUUUAAUUUUCAACAAAUAUGAUCCUAUACUGUAUUGCCGAAUCUAUAUGUUAUGGUGCCAGUGUAACAAGCGACACAAAAUUAGCCAAAUUAAUAUCAUAUAAAAAAACACUAACUGUUUACCUAUAUCAAGCAAAAAACAUUUAAUUUGGAUUAAAAGGAAUCUAGAUUUCACUGUUAAAGAAUACAACACAACCUUGUACUGUAUAUGCUUCCAAACCAAUAAAAACAGUCAAUUGGAAAUUCUAAAAAAAAAUGUUGGAUUCAAAUACCAAAGUACCUAUACUGAAGCAUGCAAUAUACUAGUAGUGGAACAAAUUUUUUCCAUUAAAUGUUUAUGAAGUGCAGUUCUUAGCCCUAAUACCAAACUCAAUGUAUUGUAUGUAUUAGACAUUAAUGUUAUGGAAUACCUAUAAAUGCCAACAUGUCAAAUAAAAAAUAAAGUGACUGUUUACUUUGGAGUUUUGGGCUACUAAAUGAACGUUAAACAGUCUACAGUCAAUAUGAAUAUUUGACUACACUAUCAUUUGGAGGAUGGUAUACGAACCCCGCGCCGCCGCCUCCGUGAAUGAUACACGUCACGCGUAAUGCGCUGCGGCGCCGAUCAACCAAAUUUUAGAAAAAGCUCUUCGUCGUGUACAAUAGAUUAAAGCUUAUCCUAAUUCUGAAUAUUA
RNAcentral lists this long non-coding RNA (877 nucleotides) under Acyrthosiphon pisum (pea aphid). RNAcentral describes it as "uncharacterized LOC100569862, transcript variant X1". The record is from RNAcentral. Lineage: Eukaryota; Metazoa; Arthropoda; Insecta; Hemiptera; Aphididae.